Apis mellifera (honey bee) is the source of this 812-nucleotide long non-coding RNA. RefSeq lists it as uncharacterized. NCBI's taxonomy places the organism in Eukaryota, Metazoa, Arthropoda, Insecta, Hymenoptera, Apidae. The transcript is spliced from 2 exons. The record is from RefSeq and is a predicted model, not a curated record.
GGGAGGGGGAGAAGCCCCCGCGGGUGAAGUAUGGCCCCAUACUUUACUCUGCGGUCGGCGAAGGCGUCUUAGGCAACUGGAAUCCUGGAAUAACAGGACUCGCGAUGCGCGGAGAGGGAGGGAGCGAGAGAGAGAGAGAGAGAGAGGGAGGGAGGGAGAGAGGGAAUACGAGGUGCGCGUACACGGGAGCGAAGCAUCGCGGAGGAACGAGAGAAGAGAGGAGAAGAGAAGGAGAGGAGACGAGUCCUAGAACGAGAUUGCCUGGAUCGGCGUCCCACGACGAAGAAAAAUUUCAUCCCUCUCUAAAGACGCGAAAGGGAAAGGAUCGAGGGAGAAAAAGUGAAUGAAGGUUGAUUCGAUACGUUGGAGCUGCAACGAGAUUACGUCUACGAUCGCAGUUUCUCGAUGUGCUCGAUGAUCGAGGAAAGGGUGUCAUCGGUUUGCCGCGUGGACGAAACGUCUUUGAAAAAAAUUGCGGCAACUUUUAAAAGUGUAAACUCGUACAUUUGCGUGAUAUUCAACGGUUGAUAUUCGAAAACGUUGGAAACUUACUGGUUCAUUUGUCAAGUGACUCGUGACGCUGCGGUUCGUUGAUAAUUUCAUUAACAAUGGCCUGUUCAUCCGUAGGGAUACGUUGUUAUCGAUCGAAUCACCAUGUUGGACCACCAUAAUGUUCCCGCGUUCUCUCCCCGUAACUUUAAUUACAUCGUUCGCUUAAUAUUACCCCCGAUCGAUUAAACCGCCUAAGAAAAACCUCGCCUCGCGACACGAUAUUGGACACUAUAAAUCGAAUAAAGCCCAAAUACAAAUCC